RNAcentral lists this ribosomal RNA (1166 nucleotides) under uncultured Flavobacteriaceae bacterium. RNAcentral's name for it is "bacterial SSU rRNA". It matches the Rfam family "Bacterial small subunit ribosomal RNA", at positions 363 to 1533 of the family's 1533-position model. The record is from RNAcentral. Lineage: Bacteria; Pseudomonadati; Bacteroidota; Flavobacteriia; Flavobacteriales; Flavobacteriaceae.
AUUGGACAAUGGAGGCAACUCUGAUCCAGCCAUGCCGCGUGAAGGAAGACGGCCUUAUGGGUUGUAAACUUCUUUUAUACAGGAAGAAACCUUUCCACGUGUGGAAAGUUGACGGUACUGUAAGAAUAAGGAUCGGCUAACUCCGUGCCAGCAGCCGCGGUAAUACGGAGGAUCCAAGCGUUAUCCGGAAUUAUUGGGUUUAAAGGGUCCGCAGGCUGUUUGUUAAGUCAGAGGUGAAAUCCUACCGCUCAACGGUAGAACUGCCUUUGAUACUGGCAAACUUGAGUUAUUGUGAAGUAGUUAGAAUGUGUAGUGUAGCGGUGAAAUGCAUAGAUAUUACACAGAAUACCGAUUGCGAAAGCAGAUUACUAACAAUAUACUGACGCUGAGGGACGAAAGCGUGGGUAGCGAACAGGAUUAGAUACCCUGGUAGUCCACGCCGUAAACGAUGGUCACUAGCUGUUCGAUGUACAUUGGUACGUUGAGUGGCUAAGCGAAAGUGAUAAGUGACCCACCUGGGGAGUACGCUCGCAAGAGUGAAACUCAAAGGAAUUGACGGGGGCCCGCACAAGCGGUGGAGCAUGUGGUUUAAUUCGAUGAUACGCGAGGAACCUUACCAGGACUUAAAUGUAAGUUGCAUGAUUCAGAAAUGAAUCUUUCUUCGGACUACUUACAAGGUGCUGCAUGGUUGUCGUCAGCUCGUGCCGUGAGGUGUCAGGUUAAGUCCUAUAACGAGCGCAACCCCUAUCGUUAGUUGCCAUCAAGUAAAGUUGGGAACUCUAGCGAAACUGCCGGUGCAAACCGAGAGGAAGGUGGGGAUGACGUCAAAUCAUCACGGCCCUUACGUUCUGGGCUACACACGUGCUACAAUGGUCGGUACAGAAAGCAGCCACUAUGCGAAUAGGAGCUAAUCUUUAAGACCGAUCUCAGUUCGGACCGCAGUCUGCAACUCGACUGCGUGAAGCUGGAAUCGCUAGUAAUCGGAUAUCAGCCAUGAUCCGGUGAAUACGUUCCCGGGCCUUGUACACACCGCCCGUCAAGCCAUGGAAGCUGGGGGUACCUAAAGUCGGUGACCGAAAGGAGCUGCCUAGGGUAAAACUAGUGACUGGGGCUAAGUCGUAACAAGGUAGCCGUACCGGAAGGUGCGGCUGGAAUACCUCCUUUCU